GAUGAACGCUGGUGGCGUGCCUAACACAUGCAAGUCGAGCGAUUCUCUUCGGAGAAGAGCGGCGGACGGGUGAGUAACGCGUGGGUAACCUGCCCUGUACACACGGAUAACAUACCGAAUGGUAUGCUAAUACGAGAUAACAUGCUUUUAUCGCAUGGUAGAAGUAUCAAAGCUUUUGCGGUACAGGAUGGACCCGCGUCUGAUUAGCUAGUUGGUGAGGUAACGGCUCACCAAGGCGACGAUCAGUAGCCGACCUGAGAGGGUGAUCGGCCACAUUGGAACUGAGACACGGUCCAAACUCCUACGGGAGGCAGCAGUGGGGAAUAUUGCACAAUGGGCGAAAGCCUGAUGCAGCAACGCCGCGUGAGCGAUGAAGGCCUUCGGGUCGUAAAGCUCUGUCCUCAAGGAAGAUAAUGACGGUACUUGAGGAGGAAGCCCCGGCUAACUACGUG
Molecule: ribosomal RNA, 452 nt
Filed under: uncultured bacterium
Lineage: Bacteria
Description: partial 16S ribosomal RNA
Rfam family: Bacterial small subunit ribosomal RNA
Source: RNAcentral